GCGGAUGUAGCCAAGUGGUAAGGCAGCAGGCUUCCACCCUGCCAUCGUGGGUUCGAUCCCCAUCAUCCGCU
This 71-nucleotide transfer RNA is filed under the name Roseobacter phage DSS3P8. It matches the Rfam family "tRNA". Rfam says of the family: Transfer RNA (tRNA) molecules are approximately 80 nucleotides in length. Their secondary structure includes four short double-helical elements and three loops (D, anti-codon, and T loops). Lineage: Duplodnaviria; Heunggongvirae; Uroviricota; Caudoviricetes. The record is from Rfam by way of RNAcentral.